RNAcentral lists this ribosomal RNA (463 nucleotides) under uncultured bacterium. Its description in RNAcentral is "partial 16S ribosomal RNA". It matches the Rfam family "Bacterial small subunit ribosomal RNA", at positions 28 to 507 of the family's 1533-position model. The record is from RNAcentral.
GACGAACGCUGGCGGCGCGCUUAACACAUGCAAGUCGAACGGAAAGGCCUUUGCGGAGGUACUCGAGUUGCGAACGGGUGAGUAACACGUGGGUGAUCUGCUCUGCACUCUGGGAUAAGCUUGGGAAACUGGUUCUAAUACGGGAUAGGACCGCACUUUAGUGUGUGUGGUGGAAAGUUUUUUGGGGGUAGGAUGCGCCCGGGGCGUAUCAGCUUGUUGGUGGGGUGAUGGCCUACGAAGGCGGGGACGGGUAGCCGGACUGAGAGGUUGGUCGGCCACAUUGGGACAGAGAUACGGCGCAGACUCCUACGGGAGGCAUCAGUGGGGAGUGGUGCACAAUAGGCGCAAGCCUGAUGCAGCGACGCCGCGUGGGGGAUGACGGCCUUCGUGUUGUGAGCGCCUAUCGCCAGGGACGAGGCGUUUUGUGACGGUACCUGAUGAAGAAGCACCGGCUAACUACGUG